AUUAUGAUGAUAUAAAUGAGACGAACUUUAAUUUAAAAAAAUACAUGAAUUUCAUGCUGGACUAAUAGCCCUCUGAAAGCUGAAGUUCAAUGUAUUUAAAGAAAAGGAACAGCACUGACUGAAGUGUAGAUGUUCCGACACAUUAAUCUCUGCCAGUGAGAUUCAUCUCUGAUCUGCAGGAACCACCUCUGGGGGGAGAACAUUGCAGUCUGAAUAGGUCUCCAAUAAGCCUGCUGGCUUGAGAAAAGGGUAUUGAUCUACUGAUUCCACCAAUAUUCUCACUUCAUCUGAAAUCUACUGUAAACAGGUAUUUCUGGAUGCAGUUCUAGGCUGCCUGAAACUGUCCAAAGCGCUGCAUUAAUCCAGAAAAGACUUGGUCCUAUGGUGUGAAAAAUGGAUGCAACCUUGAGUUCUUGGCUGUCCGUGUUAUCACCGGCUGAGAGACUACAAAACUUCCGGAAGAGACCGCAAAAAAGCAAAGACGACAUGCUGCACUAAGUGAUGCACCAAUCUCUCACAGAGAAUCAAAAAGUGCAGAAGUGGAGGGAGAGGGAAAGCAGGAUCCACAAGGAGAAAACAGCGCACAGGAAGCAAAGCACGGAGAGGCUGGAAAGCAUCCUGGAGCACCAAGCAGACUCUAUUCAGGCACUCGUAGCCAUGCAGGCGGAGCACUACCGCCCCCACCCUCCCCGCACUCCUUGUCCCAAAGCUCUCUCUCUUGUGCCCCCAUGUCAGCUCCAAUCCCCCUUCCUCAACAUCCGGGUUCUUACCGCCACCAGCUGCCUCCAACACUUGUACGUUCACCAACUAGCCCUGAGAACUACCACCCUUACCCUCUGCACUCAACCCCCAUCACCAUACAGUAUAGGCAUCCUGAAGUGCAGCAGUCAUUGCAUAGCACUCCAGACAGGACAUAUUCAAACCUGUGACUGUACAGUUCCCCACUCCACCCCCUUGCCCUUUCAGAUUCCAAAAAAGUUGUGUGUCUUUCAAUAAAGUAACUCUCUUUUCAAUCAAUGAAUUUUCGGCUUUGAAAACAGUCUUUAUUAUUGCAGAAAGUUAAAGAUACCUUAGCCCAGGAAAGAAACAGGCACUGCAAAUCAGCUUAGCAAACACAGAUUCCUACUAACAUUGUAACCACUGCACUUCACUCCCGUGCAAGGCACCAAAUAUUACUGUUGGUUUUCAGCCUCAAAUUCCUCCCUCAAGGAAUCCCUAAUCCUUGCAGCCCUGUGCUGAGCCUCUCUAGUAGCCCUGCUCUCUGGCUAUGCAAAUUCAGCCUCCAGGCGUUGAACCUCGGAGGUCCAUGCUUGACUGAAUCUUUCACCCUUCCCUUCACAAAUAUUAUGGAGGGUACAGCACACGGAUAUAACCGCGGGGAUGCUGCUUUCCUCCAAGUCCAGCUUCCCAUACAGAAAUCGCCAGUGCCCCUUUAAACG
Gopherus flavomarginatus (Mexican gopher tortoise) is the source of this 1439-nucleotide long non-coding RNA. RefSeq lists it as uncharacterized. Lineage: Eukaryota; Metazoa; Chordata; Testudines; Testudinidae. The transcript is spliced from 3 exons. The record is from RefSeq and is a predicted model, not a curated record.